This 482-nucleotide ribosomal RNA is filed under the name uncultured bacterium. RNAcentral's name for it is "partial 16S ribosomal RNA". It matches the Rfam family "Bacterial small subunit ribosomal RNA", at positions 28 to 507 of the family's 1533-position model. The record is from RNAcentral.
GAUGAACGCUAGCGGCAGGCCUAAUACAUGCAAGUCGGACGGGAUUCAGGAGCUUGCUUCUGAUGAGAGUGGCGCACGGGUGCGUAACACGUAUGUAACCUACCUUUAUCAGGGGGAUAGCCUCUCGAAAGAGAGAUUAAGCCCGCAUAAGAUCACAGCACAGCAUUGUGUAAUGAUCAAAUAUUUAUAGGAUAAAGAUGGGCAUGCGGAACAUUAGCUAGAUGGCGGGGUAACGGCCCACCAUGGCGACGAUGUUUAGGGGAUCUGAGAGGAUGGCCCCCCACACUGGUACUGAGACACGGACCAGACUCCUACGGGAGGCAGCAGUAAGGAAUAUUGGUCAAUGGGCGGAAGCCCGAACCAGCCAUGCCGCGUGCAGGAAGACGGCCCUACGGGUUGUAAACUGCUUUUAUACGGGAAUAAACCCAGAUACGUGUAUCUGGCUGAAUGUACUGUAAGAAUAAGGAUCGGCUAACUCCGUG